CCAAGUGCUCACCAUCACUUGUGUCCUUUGGUCAUCUCUUUGUUGUUUUCUUCCCUUUUAUCUGCAGUGCGAGCCAUCCAACUGCCUGCAUGCCAAAGUCAGUGUUGGAUUUGGUUGUGAAGAAAAAGAGGAGCAAAUGUUAUUGUGUAGUUGUGGAUGCACGAGGCUGUGGUCGACUGGUCGGUCGCCCGGCCCUUCCAACCAACCAACAUCGCCGUUACGUUCCAGAAUUUGUUUGUUU
Molecule: long non-coding RNA, 241 nt
Filed under: Setaria italica (foxtail millet)
Lineage: Eukaryota; Viridiplantae; Streptophyta; Magnoliopsida; Poales; Poaceae
Description: long non-coding RNA (SITA_LNC002657)
Source: RNAcentral